UGGGGAAUAUUGGACAAUGGGGGGAACCCUGAUCCAGCCAUGCCGCGUGUGUGAAGAAGGCCUUAUGGUUGUAAAGCACUUUAAGCGAGGAGGAGGGUACUGGUAUUAAUACUACCAGGUACUGGACGUUACUCGCAGAAUAAGCACCGGCUGACUCUGUGCCAGCAGCCGCGGUAAUACAGAGGGUGCGAGCGUUAAUCGGAUUUACUGGGCGUAAAGCGUGCGUAGGCGGCUAAUUGAGUCGGAUGUGAAAUCCCCGAGCUUAACUUGGGAAUUGCAUUCGAUACUGGUUAGCUAGAGUGUGGGAGAGGAUGGUAGAAUUCCAGGUGUAGCGGUGAAAUGCGUAGAGAUCUGGAGGAAUACCGAUGGCGAAGGCAGCCAUCUGGCCUAACACUGACGCUGAGGUACGAAAGCAUGGGGAGCAAACAGG
RNAcentral lists this ribosomal RNA (430 nucleotides) under Pseudomonadota bacterium. Its description in RNAcentral is "Proteobacteria bacterium partial 16S ribosomal RNA". It matches the Rfam family "Bacterial small subunit ribosomal RNA", at positions 355 to 776 of the family's 1533-position model. Lineage: Bacteria; Pseudomonadati; Pseudomonadota. The record is from RNAcentral.